RNAcentral lists this ribosomal RNA (497 nucleotides) under uncultured bacterium. Its description in RNAcentral is "partial 16S ribosomal RNA". It matches the Rfam family "Bacterial small subunit ribosomal RNA", at positions 28 to 507 of the family's 1533-position model. The record is from RNAcentral.
GAUGAACGCUGGCGGCGUGCCUAAUACAUGCAAGUCGAGCGAACAGACGAGGAGCUUGCUCCUCUGACGUUAGCGGCGGACGGGUGAGUAACACGUGGAUAACCUACCUAUAAGACUGGGAUAACUUCGGGAAACCGGAGCUAAUACCGGAUAAUAUAUUGAACCGCAUGGUUCAAUAGUGAAAGACGGUUUUGCUGUCACGUAUAGAUGGAUCCGCGCCGCAUUAGCUAGUUGGUAAGGUAACGGCUUACCAAGGCAACGAUGCGUAGCCGACCUGAGAGGGUGAUCGGCCACACUGGAACUGAGACACGGUCCAGACUCCUACGGGAGGCAGCAGUAGGGAAUCGUCCGCAAUGGGCGAAAGCCUGACGGAGCAACGCCGCGUGAGUGAUGAAGGUCUUCGGAUCGUAAAACUCUGUUAUUAGGGAAGAACAAAUGUGUAAGUAACUAUGCACGUCUUGACGGUACCUAAUCAGAAAGCCACGGCUAACUACGUG